RNAcentral lists this ribosomal RNA (497 nucleotides) under uncultured bacterium. Its description in RNAcentral is "partial 16S ribosomal RNA". It matches the Rfam family "Bacterial small subunit ribosomal RNA", at positions 28 to 507 of the family's 1533-position model. The record is from RNAcentral.
GAUGAACGCUGGCGGCGUGCCUAAUACAUGCAAGUCGAGCGAACGGACGAGAAGCUUGCUUCUCUGAUGUUAGCGGCGGGCGGGUGUGUAACACGUGGAUAACCUACCUAUACGACUGGGAUCACUUCGGGACACCGUAUCUAAUACCGGAACAUCUUUUGAACCGCAUGGUUCAAAAGUGAAAGACAGUCUUGCUGUUACUUAUUGAUGGAUCCUCGCUGCAUUAGCUAGUUGGUAAGGUAACGCCUUACCAAGGCAACGAUGCAUAGCCGACCUGAGAGGGGGAUCGGCCACACUGGAACGGAGACACGGUCCAGACUCCUACGGGAGGCAGCAGUAGGGAAUCUUCCGCAAGGGGCGAAGGCCUGACGGGGCAACGCCGGGUGAGUGAUGAAGUUCUUCGGAUCGUAAGACUCUGUGAUUAGGGAAGAACAGAUGUGUAAGUAACUGUGCACAUCGUGACGGUACCUAAUCAGAAAGCGACGGCUAACUACGUG